ACGAAAAAUAACGAUACGGGACUCAUCCGAGGCCCCGUAAUCGGAAUGAGUACACUCUAAACCCUUUAACGAGGAUCAAUUGGAGGGCAAGUCUGGUGCCAGCAGCCGCGGUAAUUCCAGCUCCAAUAGCGUAUAUUAAAGUUGUUGCGGUUAAAAAGCUCGUAGUCGAAUUUGUGUCCCGCGCCGCCGGUUCAUCGCUCGCGGUGUCAACUGGCGUGUCCGCGGGACGUCCUGCCGGUGGGCUUAGCCCCUGCGGGCGGCCCAAUCACAAUCCCACCGCGGUGCUCUUCACUGAGUGUCGAGGUGGGCCGGCACGUUUACUUUGAACAAAUUAGAGUGCUUAAAGCAGGCUAAAACAUCGCCUGAAUACUGUGUGCAUGGAAUAAUGGAAUAGGACCUCGGUUCUAUUUUGUUGGUUUUCGGAACCCCGAGGUAAUGAUUAAUAGGAACGGAUGGGGGCAUUCGUAUUGCGACGUUAGAGGUGAAAUUCUUGGAUCGUCGCAAGACGGACAGAAGCGAAAGCAUUUGCCAAAAACGUUUUCAUUGAUCAAGAACGAAAGUUAGAGGUUCGAAGGCGAUCAGAUACCGCCCUAGUUCUAACCAUAAACGAUGCCAGCUAGCGAUCCGCCGACGUUCCUCCGAUGACUCGGCGGGCAGCUUCCGGGAAACCAAAGCUUUUGGGUUCCGGGGGAAGUAUGGUUGCAAAGCUGAAACUUAAAGGAAUUGACGGAAGGGCACCACCAGGAGUGGAGCCUGCGGCUUAAUUUGACUCAACACGGGAAACCUCACCAGGCCCGGACACCGGAAGGAUUGACAGAUUGAGAGC
RNAcentral lists this ribosomal RNA (826 nucleotides) under Dichotomius sp. sp136. Its description in RNAcentral is "SSU rRNA". It matches the Rfam family "Eukaryotic small subunit ribosomal RNA", at positions 470 to 1255 of the family's 1831-position model. Lineage: Eukaryota; Metazoa; Arthropoda; Insecta; Coleoptera; Scarabaeidae. The record is from RNAcentral.